Molecule: small nuclear RNA, 145 nt
Organism: Cavia porcellus (domestic guinea pig)
Lineage: Eukaryota; Metazoa; Chordata; Mammalia; Rodentia; Caviidae
Gene: U4
Rfam family: U4 spliceosomal RNA
About the family: U4 small nuclear RNA (U4 snRNA) is a component of the major U2-dependent spliceosome. The structure of U4 snRNA from yeast and human has been reported.
Source: Ensembl
AGCUUUGUGCAGCAGCAGUGUCAUAGCCAAUGAGGUUUAUCCGAGGUGCGGUUAUUGCUAAUUGAAAAAUAUCAAUCUCAGAGUCAAAGCUAAAAUGCAUCUCACAUUUGCUUUCAUAUACAGAUUUUGUUUUCCUUUCAAAAGA